This 253-nucleotide ribosomal RNA is filed under the name uncultured bacterium. RNAcentral's name for it is "partial 16S ribosomal RNA". It matches the Rfam family "Bacterial small subunit ribosomal RNA", at positions 524 to 776 of the family's 1533-position model. The record is from RNAcentral.
UACGGAGGGUGCGAGCGUUGUCCGGAAUUAUUGGGCGUAAAGGGCUCGUAGGCGGUCUGUCGCGUCAGGAGUGAAAACUCGGGGCUUAACCCCGAGCCUGCUUCUGAUACGGGCAGACUAGAGGUAUGCAGGGGAGAACGGAAUUCCUGGUGUAGCGGUGAAAUGCGCAGAUAUCAGGAGGAACACCGGUGGCGAAGGCGGUUCUCUGGGCAUUACCUGACGCUGAGGAGCGAAAGUGUGGGGAGCGAACAGG